CCUACGGGCGGCAGCAGUGAGGAAUAUUGGUCAAUGGGCGAGAGCCUGAACCAGCCAAGUCGCGUGAGGGAGUACUGCCCUAUGGGUUGUAAACCUCUUUUGUCGGGGAGCAAAAGCCGGACGUGUCCGGCUGUGAGAGUACCCGAAGAAAAAGCAUCGGCUAACUCCGUGCCAGCAGCCGCGGUAAUACGGAGGAUGCGAGCGUUAUCCGGAUGUAUUGGGUUUAAAGGGUGCGCAGGCGGAUUUUUAAGUCAGCGGUAAAAUCGUGGGGCUCAACCCCAUCCAGCCGUUGAAACUGGGGAUCUAGAGUGUGCGAGAGGUAUGCGGAAUGCGUGGUGUAGCGGUGAAAUGCAUAGAUAUCACGCAGAACCCCGAUUGCGAAGGCAGCAUACCGGUGCACAACUGACGCUCAGGCACGAAAGCGUGGGUAUCGAACAGGAUUAGAUACCCGAGUAGUC
RNAcentral lists this ribosomal RNA (458 nucleotides) under uncultured bacterium. Its description in RNAcentral is "partial 16S ribosomal RNA". It matches the Rfam family "Bacterial small subunit ribosomal RNA", at positions 338 to 795 of the family's 1533-position model. The record is from RNAcentral.